CAUAUACUCCCUCCGUCCGGAAAUACUUGUCGCAGAAAUGCAUAAAAAUGGAUGUACCUAGAACUAAAAUAUGUCUAGAUACAUCCAUUCCUCCGACACGUAUUUUUGGACGGAGGGAGUAGAUG
Non-coding RNA from Triticum aestivum (bread wheat), 125 nucleotides. Lineage: Eukaryota; Viridiplantae; Streptophyta; Magnoliopsida; Poales; Poaceae. The record is from Rfam.